Molecule: ribosomal RNA, 245 nt
Filed under: uncultured bacterium
Lineage: Bacteria
Description: partial 16S ribosomal RNA
Rfam family: Bacterial small subunit ribosomal RNA
Source: RNAcentral
AGUAACGCGUGAGCAAUCUGCCUUUGGAUGGGGGAUAACAGCCGGAAACGGCUGCUAAUACCGCAUAAUGCAACGGGACCGCAUGGUCCUGCUGCCAAAGAUUUAUUGUCCAAAGAUGAGCUCGCGUCUGAUUAGCCAGUUGGCGGGGUAACGGCCCACCAAAGCGACGAUCAGUAGCCGGACUGAGAGGUUGAACGGCCACAUUGGGACUGAGACACGGCCCAGACUCCUACGGAAGGCAGCAG